Cryptomeria japonica (Japanese cedar) is the source of this 1372-nucleotide long non-coding RNA. RefSeq lists it as uncharacterized. The transcript has 6 exons. The record is from RefSeq and is a predicted model, not a curated record. NCBI's taxonomy places the organism in Eukaryota, Viridiplantae, Streptophyta, Pinopsida, Cupressales, Cupressaceae.
AAAGAAAAUGAAAUAUCCAAUCAAAAUAAACAUAAUGGGAGCUGUGUGAAAGGAUAAGCAAGACAUCCUUUCAAUGGCAGUCCUCAUCAGUGCUAUAGUUUCAUCAUCAUCGUCUAGCUAUUUGUACACCAAUUAUUUACAUGGAUUAUUUCCAAGCUGCAAUGAUUACUAUUAAUGAUCAACUCCCAAUCCUUUCUUCUUUAACCAGCUGCAGCAACCUUGUAGCUUUCAGAGUGACACUCACAUUGCUUUCUAGUUUUGAGCGCACAUGGAGGAGGAGGAGAGAAUUUGAGUCAAAUGGGACUGAAGAAUACUGUAGAUUUAGAUCAACAUUGUCAGAAGGAAGUGGGAAUGAAUAGUGGAUAACAACAGCAACUCACACAGUUCCCUUCUCUAUUCUGUGCCAAAAUCUUAAAUCAUUAUAUCAAGAAGCAGGGAGGGGAAAUUCAGAAGAAAGAAAAUGGAGCUUUGGAGGAUGAGCAAGACAUCAUUUCAAUGGCCUAGUCCUCAAAAUCAUCUAUUGCUGCAGCAACCUUCUUUGAAAGUGACACUCCCAUUGCUUUCUAGUUUUAAGCUCACUUGGAAGAGGAGAAGAGAAUAUGAGAUCAGAUGCAGGGGAGUUUAGUUAAAUGUGGCUGUGUCUUUCAAUAUAGGAGUGAAGAUGAUUGAUGAUGCAGAGGAGUAGUGUAGAUCUGGAUCAACAUUGUCAGAAGGAAGUGGGCAUGAAUGCUGGAUAACCACAGCAACUCACAAAGUUCCCUUGUCCAGUCUCUCCCAAUAUCCUAAAUCAUUAUAACAAGAGCAGGUAAGCGAAGAGGUAAUGGAAGAAUAAAAGAGGCACACAAAGGAAGAAGAGUGAAAUAGGUGGUUUGGGAUGGAGGUUACCUCAUCAACAUGAAUGAAUGCCUCAUCUACAGAAGUAAAAGGUAAACGAAGAGGUAAUGGAAGAAUAAAAGAGGUACACAAAGGAAGAAGAGUGAAAUAGGUGGUUUGGGAUGGAGGUUACCUCAUCAACAUGAAUGAAUGCCUCAUCUACAAAAGUAAAAGGGGAAGGUUGGGGCAGUGCAUGUCAUGAUUUUCACGGGCACAGUCUUAUUAUUUGAUUCUCCUCUAACAAAAAUGGAGUUCCCCGUGACUUUACUGACACACAAAAGUUGAGGUUGGGCAUAUAGAUAUAUAUAGAGAGAAAGUCUUAUCAAAUUGUCAUAAAAUAUACAGUGUACGUGCAUCAUCUCUUCUUUUCUAUUCAGAAAAGAUUUGAAGACAUUUAAAAAAGGAGGCUAGUGUUGGCUGGAUGUUCCAUUUUACAAUAUAUUGAUAAAAUUAAAUAAGAAGCCAUAUAUUUAUAUAGUAUUUGUUUUCAGUUUAAAAA